RNAcentral lists this ribosomal RNA (459 nucleotides) under uncultured bacterium. Its description in RNAcentral is "partial 16S ribosomal RNA". It matches the Rfam family "Bacterial small subunit ribosomal RNA", at positions 28 to 507 of the family's 1533-position model. The record is from RNAcentral.
GAUGAACGCUGGCGGCGCGCCUAACACAUGCAAGUCGAACGGCACCCCUCCUCGGAGGGGAGCGAGUGGCGAACGGCUGAGUAACACGUGGAGAACCUGCCCCCUCCCCCGGGAUAGCCGCCCGAAAGGACGGGUAAUACCGGAUACCCCGGGGUGCCGCAUGGCACCCCGGCUAAAGCCCCGACGGGGGGGGAUGGCUCCGCGGCCCGUCAGGUGGACGGCGGGGUGACGGCCCACCGUGCCGACAGCGGGUGGCCGGGGUGGGAGACCGACCGGCCAGGUUGGGACUGAGACACGGCCCAGACUCCUACGGGAGGCAGCAGUGGGGAAUCUUGCGCAAUGGGGGGAACCCUGACGCAGCGACGCCGCGUGCGGGACGGAGGCCUUCGGGUCGUAAACCGCUUUCAGCAGGGAAGAGUCAAGACUGUACCUGCAGAAGAAGCCCCGGCUAACUACGUG